AGUGGUAUAGCUGGGUCAAAUGGUGGUUCCAUUCCAAGUUGUAUAAGGAAUCUCCAUAUUGCUUUCCAGAUUGGUUGCACCAAUUUACAGUCGCACCAGCAAU
Molecule: microRNA precursor, 103 nt
Filed under: Marmota monax (woodchuck)
Lineage: Eukaryota; Metazoa; Chordata; Mammalia; Rodentia; Sciuridae
Source: RNAcentral